RNAcentral lists this ribosomal RNA (253 nucleotides) under uncultured bacterium. Its description in RNAcentral is "partial 16S ribosomal RNA". It matches the Rfam family "Bacterial small subunit ribosomal RNA", at positions 524 to 776 of the family's 1533-position model. The record is from RNAcentral.
UACGUAGGGCGCAAGCGUUGUCCGGAAUUAUUGGGCGUAAAGAGCUCGUAGGCGGUUUGUCGCGUCUGCUGUGAAAGUCCGGGGCUCAACUCCGGAUCUGCGGUGGGUACGGGCAGACUAGAGUGAUGUAGGGGAGACUGGAAUUCCUGGUGUAGCGGUGAAAUGCGCAGAUAUCAGGAGGAACACCGAUGGCGAAGGCAGGUCUCUGGGCAUUAACUGACGCUGAGGAGCGAAAGCAUGGGGAGCGAACAGG